AUUGAACGCUGGCGGCAGGCCUAACACAUGCAAGUCGAGCGGAUGAAGGGAGCUUGCUCCUGGAUUCAGCGGCGGACGGGUGAGUAAUGCCUAGGAAUCUGCCUGGUAGUGGGGGAUAACGUCCGGAAACGGGCGCUAAUACCGCAUACGUCCUGAGGGAGAAAGUGGGGGAUCUUCGGACCUCACGCUAUCAGAUGAGCCUAGGUCGGAUUAGCUAGUUGGGGGGGUAAAGGCCUACCAAGGCGACAAUCCGUAACUGGUCUGAGAGGAUGAUCAGUCACCCGGGAACUAGAACACGGUCCGGCACCCACCGGGAGGAAGGAGGGGGAAAUUUUGGCAAAGGGGCGAAACCCUGAUCCAGCCAUGCCGCGUGUGUGAAGAAGGUCUUCGGAUUGUAAAGCACUUUAAGUUGGGAGGAAGGGCAGUAAGUUAAUACCUUUCUGUUUUGACGUUACCAAAAAAAUAAGCACCGGCUAACUUCGU
This 483-nucleotide ribosomal RNA is filed under the name uncultured bacterium. RNAcentral describes it as "partial 16S ribosomal RNA". It matches the Rfam family "Bacterial small subunit ribosomal RNA", at positions 30 to 506 of the family's 1533-position model. The record is from RNAcentral.